This 67-nucleotide small RNA is filed under the name Sinorhizobium meliloti 2011. RNAcentral describes it as "putative ncRNA". Lineage: Bacteria; Pseudomonadati; Pseudomonadota; Alphaproteobacteria; Hyphomicrobiales; Rhizobiaceae. The record is from RNAcentral.
AGCGAUCUGGACCAGACGCAUUUUCGCGGUCGCGGGGGGGACCUCGACUGAGCCGUAGAAGGUCUUU